Long non-coding RNA from Phascolarctos cinereus (koala), 721 nucleotides. RefSeq lists it as uncharacterized. The record is from RefSeq and is a predicted model, not a curated record. NCBI's taxonomy places the organism in Eukaryota, Metazoa, Chordata, Mammalia, Diprotodontia, Phascolarctidae.
ACAGUGGAGGACAGAAGAGCCUGGCAUGCUGUGGUCCAUGGGGUCACAGAGUGAGAAGUGACUGAACGACUGAAUGACAGCAAUUGACACUCACUGGAUGACCUGGGGUUUUUGAAGAUUAUUCCACAGGAGCACAAACUCUGAAGUGUCCCAUUAAGUUGUAAAGUUUUAAAGUUAUAGGCUCUGUAACAGACAACGUUAGCUGGUCCAUGAGCUACCAGCCUGCUAAAUUGGGAGAACCUCCGAACCAACAUUGGCCACCAAGGAAUGCAUCUUUUCCUACCAGGGGAACUUAUUGGGGAGAGAUUCCAAUCUUUUAUUGUGGCCACUUCUCCCCAUCUCCAAUCAUCAUCAUCAACAACAACAAGCUACAGCAAAAGAAAAAAUCACUGCACUCAAAAAUCCAGAAAAUCCCCAUCACUUUUCUCUAGAAGUUUUUAACUUGUUGGAGUAAAGAUUAAUCAAGUAUGACAUUUAAAACUGUCAAGAAAAGCAAAUUUUGGAGAGUAGUGGUACGCAGACACCUUUGGAACAGUGGAACAGAUCACAGAAUUUGGAGACAGAAGACCUGGGCUAGAAUCCGGGCUCUGAUAUCAUCUAUGUGACUUUGGACAAAUCCCUUACCUUUUCGGGCCUCAGUUUCCUCAUUUAUAAAAUGAGGGGAUGGAACUUAAUGGCUUCUCAGGUUUUUGCCAGCUUUAAAUCUCUGAUCUCCAGUACU